This 29-nucleotide non-coding RNA is filed under the name Mus musculus (house mouse). The record is from RNAcentral. Lineage: Eukaryota; Metazoa; Chordata; Mammalia; Rodentia; Muridae.
UAGAAAGGCAUGGCAGUGCCCUAGUUCCA